RNAcentral lists this ribosomal RNA (397 nucleotides) under uncultured bacterium. RNAcentral's name for it is "partial 16S ribosomal RNA". It matches the Rfam family "Bacterial small subunit ribosomal RNA", at positions 523 to 918 of the family's 1533-position model. The record is from RNAcentral.
AUACGUAGGUGGCAAGCGUUGUCCGGAAUUAUUGGGCGUAAAGCGCGCGCAGGCGGUCCUUUAAGUCUGAUGUGAAAGCCCACGGCUCAACCGUGGAGGGUCAUUGGAAACUGGAGGACUUGAGUGCAGAAGAGGAAAGUGGAAUUCCAAGUGUAGCGGUGAAAUGCGUAGAGAUUCGGAGGAACACCAGUGGCGAAGGCGACUUUCUGGUCGGUAACUGACGCUGAGGCGCGAAAGCGUGGGGAGCAAACAGGAUUAGAUACCCUGGUAGUCCACGCCGUAAACGAUGAGUGCUAAGUGUUAGGGGGUUUCCGCCCCUUAGUGCUGCAGCUAACGCAUUAAGCACUCCGCCUGGGGAGUACGGUCGCAAGACUGAAACUCAAAGGAAUUGACGGGG